Astatotilapia calliptera (eastern happy) is the source of this 1285-nucleotide long non-coding RNA. Lineage: Eukaryota; Metazoa; Chordata; Actinopteri; Cichliformes; Cichlidae. The record is from Ensembl.
AUUUUUAUGUUUUUUUAACUCGUCUGAGACAAGAUUGCAGAAGAAUCCGAGGUGCAAAAUCAAGAGCAAUUACUAGCGCGAGCUGUUGCUGCUCAACAGACUGGAUAUUUUAUCCAUGCGAGCAGCUCCUGUGUUUGAGUGUUUUUGUAGUGCUACGUGAUUACCCUGCCUGCUAACACAACACGGUGUUGUCCAGAGUGUGCACUGUGAGCCCUGCUGAUCACACUCCACUGAGUUGCGCUUGUACGGCCUCUCAUCUUUGCUAACUCACACUGACAUGGUCCUUUGAUGUCACGAGGAGCAGAGCAGACCUCGGACAGUCCCAACAAAAGCAAUGUGAUCCAGGGCUGAUGUGUCCAAGCAUGCCUGCAGUCACCAGCCUACAAUGAACCAGGACAGCAGGGCUCCGCUUUGCAACCUCUGUGUUUACCUAAGAAUGAACCUGCAUGCUGUCUGUGCUGAACUUGACAUCUGAAUAAUCUGAGGAGAGAUGGUGCAGAACAGAAUGUGUGACAGUGUGAAGAUUUAGCCUAUUUUUUGCAAUUUCUUGGGGAUAGAGAGGGGAAACAUGGUAGUGCACACUCACUAAUACACCUUGCUAGUGUUUGAUUAGACCUACUUUUGCCUUCAGGACUGUUAUGACAAAGAUUCAGUAAUGUGCUGGAAACAUUCCUCGGAAUUUUGGGCUCACAUUGACUUGACAGAAUUAUGCAGCUGCUAUAAAGUUUCUCUUUGUUCACGGAUGUGUGUGUGUGUGUGUGACCCUGUACGGUCUUCUGCUACUGUAGCCCAUCUGCUUCAAGGUGUUGUGUGCUCUUCUGCUUACCUUGGUUCUAAAGACUGGGUCUUUUUCAGUGUGGCUGUUCUCACCUGAGAACUCCAGAGAACUUCCACUCAUUUUGUCCUUUUCACAUUCUCUGGUAGUGUUGGAAAAGUUUUUGAAACAAGCCAACAAUCAUGCUUCUUUAAAAGUCAUUUAAAUCACCUUUCUUCCCCUUUCUGAUGUUUUGUUUGAACGUAAAUGCCUAAAUGCACUGAGGGGCUGCCAUCUGAUUGGCUGUUUAGACAUUUGUUUUAAUGAGCAGCUAAUGGCUAAUUGAUAGAUUUGGGACCAAAUUUCCCAAAUCUAUCUAAUAAUGUGCUUUUGUAUGAAUUCAUUUAUUUCCUUUCAAUUUUAACUGUACCUCUGAUGAUAUAAAUUUCAGCUCGAUUACUAAAGUUCCCCAUCAAUAACCUGACAGGCUGCAGCUCUUUCUGUUGUGGGUGACAGCCCAGUCAUUUGCAC